UACGGGGAGCAGCAGGCGCGAAAACUGCGCAAUGCGCGAAAACGCGACGCGGGAAUUCCAAGUGCUACUACUUAGUAGUAGCUGUUCGAGAUCCUAAAAAGAUCUUGAAGUAAGGGCUGGGUAAGACGGGUGCCAGCAGCGCGGUAA
Molecule: ribosomal RNA, 147 nt
Filed under: uncultured archaeon
Lineage: Archaea
Description: partial 16S ribosomal RNA
Rfam family: Archaeal small subunit ribosomal RNA
Source: RNAcentral